AUGAUAAAACAGACUUUUGGUGGAGGAACCAAACUGUCUGUGGGCCGUCUCACCCGGCCCAGUGUGACGGUGCUGCCCCCCUCCAGUGUGGACCUGCAGCAGGAGAAGGUCACACUCGUGUGUGUGGCCAACAAGGGCUUCCCCUCGGACUGGAGGCUGACCUGGAAGGUUAAUGGGAACAGCUGGACCUCGGGGGAGAGUCACAGUGCUGAUGUUCUGCACACAGACGGCCUCUACAGCUGGAGCAGCACGCUGAGCCUUCACUCGGAGCAGUGCAGGAACAAGCUGGUGACCUGUGAGGCCUUCAAGGAGAACCAACCUACUGUGGUGAGCACAGUGAACAUAGAGCAGUGCUCAGAGCUGUGAGCUCACACACACUUUACUCAGCUCAUAUUCUACUUCUUCACUGUGCUUCAAAUGUCCUACUUUAAAUAAAAGCUUUUGUUCAACAAUGAAA
Non-coding RNA from Clarias gariepinus (North African catfish), 457 nucleotides. NCBI's taxonomy places the organism in Eukaryota, Metazoa, Chordata, Actinopteri, Siluriformes, Clariidae. The record is from the annotation of a RefSeq genome assembly.